This 442-nucleotide ribosomal RNA is filed under the name uncultured bacterium. RNAcentral describes it as "partial 16S ribosomal RNA". It matches the Rfam family "Bacterial small subunit ribosomal RNA", at positions 338 to 795 of the family's 1533-position model. The record is from RNAcentral.
CCUACGGGGGGCAGCAGUGGGGAAUAUUGGGCAAUGGGCGAAAGCCUGACCCAGCAACGCCGCGUGAAGGAAGAAGGCUUUCGGGUUGUAAACUUCUUUUGACAGGGAAGAGCAGAAGACGGUACCUGUCGAAUAAGCCACGGCUAACUACGUGCCAGCAGCCGCGGUAAUACGUAGGUGGCAAGCGUUGUCCGGAUUUACUGGGUGUAAAGGGCGUGUAGCCGGGCUGACAAGUCAGAUGUGAAAUCCGGGGGCUCAACCCCCGAACUGCAUUUGAAACUGUUUGUCUUGAGUAUCGGAGAGGCAUGCGGAAUUCCUAGUGUAGCGGUGAAAUGCGUAGAUAGUAGGAGGAACACCAGUGGCGAAGGCAGCCUGCUGGACGACAACUGACGGUGAGGCGCGAAAGCGUGGGUAGCAAACAGGAUUAGAUACCCUGGUAGUC